GAUGAACGCUGGCGGCGUGCCUAAUACAUGCGAGUCGAGCGAACAGACGAGGAGCUUGCUCCUCUGACGUUAGCGGCGGUCGGGUGAGUAACACGUGGAUAACCUACCUAUAAGACUGGGAUAACUUCGGGAAACCGGAGCUAAUACCGGAUAAUAUAUUGAACCGCAUGGUUCAAUAGUGAAAGACGGUUUUGCUGUCACUUAUAGAUGGAUCCGCGCCGCAUUAGCUAGUUGGUAAGGUAACGGCUUACCAAGGCAACGAUGCGUAGCCGACCUGAGAGGGUGAUCGGCCACACUGGAACUGAGACACGGUCCAGACUCCUACGGGAGGCAGCAGUAGGGAAUCUUCCGCAAUGGGCGAAAGCUUGACGGAGCAACGCCGCGUGAGUGAUGAAGGUCUUCGGAUCGUAAAACUCUGUUAUUAGGGAAGAACAAAUGUGUAAGUAACUAUGCACGUCUUGACGGUACCUAAUCAGAAAGCCACGGCUAACUACGUG
This 497-nucleotide ribosomal RNA is filed under the name uncultured bacterium. RNAcentral describes it as "partial 16S ribosomal RNA". It matches the Rfam family "Bacterial small subunit ribosomal RNA", at positions 28 to 507 of the family's 1533-position model. The record is from RNAcentral.